This 155-nucleotide ribosomal RNA is filed under the name chlamydia-associated clinical sample 834-G. Its description in RNAcentral is "partial 16S ribosomal RNA". It matches the Rfam family "Bacterial small subunit ribosomal RNA", at positions 1381 to 1513 of the family's 1533-position model. The record is from RNAcentral.
UUGUACACACCGCCCGUCACACCAUGAGAGUCUGUAACGCCCGAAGCCGGCGGGAUAACCGAAAGAGUCAGCCGGCGGGAUAACCGAAAGAGUCAGCCGUCUAAGCGGGACAGAUGAUUAGGGUGAAGUCGUAACAAGGUAGCCGUAGAGAACCU